Molecule: ribosomal RNA, 538 nt
Filed under: uncultured bacterium
Lineage: Bacteria
Description: bacterial SSU rRNA
Rfam family: Bacterial small subunit ribosomal RNA
Source: RNAcentral
AGAGUUUGAUCAUGGCUCAGAAUCAACGCUGGCGGCGUGCCUAACACAUGCAAGUCGAACGCGACUUGGGCUUCGGCCUAAGUUGAGUGGCGAACGGGUGAGUAACACGUGGGUGACCUACCCUCGAGUGGGGGGUAACAGUCCGAAAGGAUUGCUAAUACCGCAUGACAUCCUGUCCUUGGACGGAUGGAGAUCAAAGCCGGGGAUCGUAAGACCUGGCGCUUGAGGAGGGGCCCGCGUUCGAUUAGCUAGUUGGUGGGGUAACGGCUCACCAAGGCGACGAUCGAUAGCCGGCCUGAGAGGGCGGACGGCCACACUGGGACUGAGACACGGCCCAGACUCCUACGGGAGGCAGCAGUGGGGAAUUGUUCGCAAUGGGCGCAAGCCUGACGACGCAACGCCGCGUGGAGGAUGAAGAUCUUCGGGUCGUAAACUCCUGUCGACCGGGACGAAAUUUCCGGGAGCUAACAUCUCCUGCAAUUGACGGUACCGGUGGAGGAAGCCCCGGCUAACUCCGUGCCAGCCGCCGCGGUAAUUC